This 253-nucleotide ribosomal RNA is filed under the name uncultured bacterium. RNAcentral's name for it is "partial 16S ribosomal RNA". It matches the Rfam family "Bacterial small subunit ribosomal RNA", at positions 524 to 776 of the family's 1533-position model. The record is from RNAcentral.
UACGGGGGGAGCGAACGUUGUUCGGAAUCACUGGGCGUAAAGGGCGUGUAGGCGGUUCGGUAAGUGGAAUGUGAAAGCCCCCGGCUUACCCGGGGAACUGCAUCCCAUACUGCUGGACUUGAGUGCGGGAGAGGAUGGAGGAAUUCCUGGUGUAGCGGUGAAAUGCGUAGAUAUCAGGAGGAACACCUGUGGCGAAGGCGUCCAUCUGGCCCGUUACUGACGCUGAGGCGCGAAAGCUAGGGGAGCAAACGGG